RNAcentral lists this unclassified non-coding RNA (318 nucleotides) under uncultured fungus. RNAcentral's name for it is "partial contains 5.8S ribosomal RNA, internal transcribed spacer 2, and large subunit ribosomal RNA". Lineage: Eukaryota; Fungi. The record is from RNAcentral.
AACGCACCUUGCGCCUUGUGGUAUUCCGCAAGGCAUGCCCGUUUGAGUAUCAUUAAAUCAUCAACUUCAAAACCUUUGUGUUGUUGAAGCUUGGUCUUGAGGGUCUUGCAGGCUUUUCACAAGUCAGCUCCCUUUAAAUUCAUUAGCGAGACUUCCCUUUGCUGAACCGUCUCUGACGUGAUAAUUAUCUGCGUCAAGUUGGGUUCUCGUUGGGCUUGCUUCUAAUCGUCCUUGGACAACCGGUUUGAAGUGCAUAUAUGCGCCUCUUUCCAAACCUAUUUUGAUCUCAAAUCGGGUAGGACUACCCGCUGAACUUAA